UGUCUCCUCCAUGUCUCCUCCUGAUAUGGAUUCACCCGCUCAACUUGAGCGGGUUUUUUUU
RNAcentral lists this non-coding RNA (61 nucleotides) under Trinickia caryophylli. Its description in RNAcentral is "Burkholderia caryophylli Betaproteobacteria toxic small RNA". It matches the Rfam family "Betaproteobacteria toxic small RNA". From Rfam's summary of the family: Overexpression in amino aid rich medium attenuates growth, suggesting role in repressing amino acid intake and metabolism. The record is from Rfam by way of RNAcentral. Lineage: Bacteria; Pseudomonadati; Pseudomonadota; Betaproteobacteria; Burkholderiales; Burkholderiaceae.